This 411-nucleotide ribosomal RNA is filed under the name uncultured bacterium. RNAcentral's name for it is "bacterial SSU rRNA". It matches the Rfam family "Bacterial small subunit ribosomal RNA", at positions 355 to 775 of the family's 1533-position model. The record is from RNAcentral.
UCGAGAAUCUUCGGCAAUGGGCGCAAGCCUGACCGAGCGACGCCGCGUGGAGGACGAAGGCCUUCGGGUUGUAAACUCCUGUCGAGGGGGAGGAAGCCGCAAGGUUGACCGAUCCCUGGAGGAAGGACGGGCUAAGUUCGUGCCAGCAGCCGCGGUAAGACGAACCGUCCGAACGUUAUUCGGAAUUACUGGGCUUAAAGCGCGUGUAGGCGGCUCGGCACGUCGGACGCUGAAAUCCCCCGGCUCAACCGGGGAAGUGGCGCCGAUACGGCCGGGCUGGAGGGGGGUAGGGGGGCCUGGAACUUCGGGUGGAGCGGUGAAAUGCGUUGAGAUCCGAAGGAACGCCCGUGGCGAAAGCGAGGCCCUGGACCCUUUCUGACGCUGAGACGCGAAAGCCAGGGGAGCGAACGG